GACGAACGCUGGCGGCGUGCUUAACACAUGCAAGUCGAACGGAGAAGGCGGAGCUUGCUUCGGUGCUCGAGUUGCGAACGGGUGAGUAACGCGUAGGUAACCUGCCUUGUAGUGGGGGAUAACUACUGGAAACUGUGGCUAAUACCGCAUAGUAGCAGCUGCCGCAUGACAUUGGCUUAAAAGGUGCAAUGGUAUCGGUACGAGUUGGACCUGCGUUGGAUUUGGUAGUUGGUGAGGUAACGGCUCGCCAAGGCAAGGAUACAUCGCCGCCGGGAGAGGGGGAUCGGCCAGACUGGGAUGGAGACAGGCCCCAGACGGCUACGGGAGGCACCAGUAGGGAAUCUUCGGCAAUGGACGGGAGUCUGACCGAGCAAGGCCGCGUGAGGGAAGAAGGUUUUCGGAUCGGAAAGCUCUGUUGUAAGAGAAGAACGAGUGUGAGAGUGGAAAGUACACACUGUGACGGUAACUUACCAGAAAGGGACGGCUAACUACGUG
Molecule: ribosomal RNA, 495 nt
Filed under: uncultured bacterium
Lineage: Bacteria
Description: partial 16S ribosomal RNA
Rfam family: Bacterial small subunit ribosomal RNA
Source: RNAcentral